CACCUCUCAGGGUCACACCUGGAGAGUUCCCAGUACUCUACCAGUCUCGACUAGGGGAGGGACAAUCAGGCAGAGGCCUACCCGUUCCAUUCCUAGCUUGGGCGGUGGCUAGUGAGUGGAAGGCAAUCUGCUUCAAGU
Molecule: small nucleolar RNA, 138 nt
Filed under: Ornithorhynchus anatinus (platypus)
Lineage: Eukaryota; Metazoa; Chordata; Mammalia; Monotremata; Ornithorhynchidae
Source: RNAcentral